This 483-nucleotide ribosomal RNA is filed under the name uncultured bacterium. RNAcentral's name for it is "partial 16S ribosomal RNA". It matches the Rfam family "Bacterial small subunit ribosomal RNA", at positions 30 to 507 of the family's 1533-position model. The record is from RNAcentral.
UUGCACGCUGGCGGCAGGCCUAACCCAUGCAAGUCGAGCGGAUGAAGGGAGCUUGCUCCUGGAUUCAGCGGCGGACGGGUGAGUAAUGCCUAGGAAUCUGCCUGGUAGUGGGGGAUAACGUCCGGAAACGGGCGCUAAUACCGCAUACGUCCUGAGGGAGAAAGUGGGGGAUCUUCGGACCUCACGCUAUCAGAUGAGCCUAGGUCGGAUUAGCUAGUUGGUGGGGUAAAGGCCUACCAAGGCGACGAUCCGUAACUGGUCUGAGAGGAUGAUCAGUCACACUGGAACUGAGACACGGUCCAGACUCCUACGGGAGGCAGCAGUGGGGAAUAUUGGACAAUGGGCGAAAGCCUGAUCCAGCCAUGCCGCGUGUGUGAAGAAGGUCUUCGGAUUGUAAAGCACUUUAAGUUGGGAGGAGGGGCAGUAAGUUAAUACCUUGCUGUUUUGACGUUACCAACAGAAUAAGCACCGGCUAACUUCGUG